Molecule: ribosomal RNA, 352 nt
Filed under: uncultured Planctomycetota bacterium
Lineage: Bacteria; Pseudomonadati; Planctomycetota
Description: bacterial SSU rRNA
Rfam family: Bacterial small subunit ribosomal RNA
Source: RNAcentral
GGAUUAGGCAUGCAAGUCGAACGAGGGUAUAUUCUUCGGAAUAUAAAUCGAGUGGCGAAAGGGUGAGUAAUGCAUAGAUGACAUACCUUUAGGAUAAGAAUAGCUUUGUGAAAACGGAGAUAAUGCUUAAUAAUUACGAAGAGGAAUAAAUUUCCUUCGUCAAAGGGGGGGCAGCAAUGCCUCUUGCCUAGAGAGUGGUUUAUGUCCUAUCAGCUAGUUGGUGGGGUAAUGGCCUACCAAGGCUAAGACGGGUAGCCGGCCUUAGAGGGUGGUCGGCCACACUGGGACUGAGACACUGCCCAGACUCCUACGGGAGGCUGCAGUCCGAGAAUCUUUCGCAAUGCCCGAAAGG